UUUACUUAGGCGGUGUAAUCCGUAUCAAGCUUAGGACUUGGAGUAGAAUUUUUCAAGUAAAG
Molecule: transfer RNA, 62 nt
Filed under: Stygobromus allegheniensis
Lineage: Eukaryota; Metazoa; Arthropoda; Malacostraca; Amphipoda; Crangonyctidae
Description: tRNA-Leu
Source: RNAcentral